Molecule: ribosomal RNA, 1170 nt
Filed under: uncultured Bacteroides sp.
Lineage: Bacteria; Pseudomonadati; Bacteroidota; Bacteroidia; Bacteroidales; Bacteroidaceae
Description: bacterial SSU rRNA
Rfam family: Bacterial small subunit ribosomal RNA
Source: RNAcentral
AGUUUGAUCCUGGCUCAGGAUGAACGCUAGCUACAGGCUUAACACAUGCAAGUCGAGGGGCAGCAUGAACUUAGCUUGCUAAGUUUGAUGGCGACCGGCGCACGGGUGAGUAACACGUAUCCAACCUACCGAUGACUCGGGGAUAGCCUUUCGAAAGAAAGAUUAAUACCCGAUGGCAUAAUUCUUCCGCAUGGUAGAACUAUUAAAGAAUUUCGGUCAUCGAUGGGGAUGCGUUCCAUUAGGUUGUUGGCGGGGUAACGGCCCACCAAGCCUUCGAUGGAUAGGGGUUCUGAGAGGAAGGUCCCCCACAUUGGAACUGAGACACGGUCCAAACUCCUACGGGAGGCAGCAGUGAGGAAUAUUGGUCAAUGGACGAGAGUCUGAACCAGCCAAGUAGCGUGAAGGAUGACUGCCCUAUGGGUUGUAAACUUCUUUUAUACGGGAAUAAAGUGAGGCACGUGUGCCUUUUUGUAUGUACCGUAUGAAUAAGGAUCGGCUAACUCCGUGCCAGCAGCCGCGGUAAUACGGAGGAUCCGAGCGCUAUCCGGAUUUAUUGGGUUUAAAGGGAGCGUAGGCGGACGCUUAAGUCAGUUGUGAAAGUUUGCGGCUCAACCGUAAAAUUGCAGUUGAUACUGGGUGUCUUGAGUACAGUAGAGGCAGGCGGAAUUCGUGGUGUAGCGGUGAAAUGCUUAGAUAUCACGAGGAACUCCGAUUGCGAAGGCAGCUUGCUGGACUGUAACUGACGCUGAUGCUCGAAAGUGUGGGUAUCAAACAGGAUUAGAUACCCUGGUAGUCCACACAGUAAACGAUGAAUACUCGCUGUUUGCGAUAUACAGUAAGCGGCCAAGCGAAAGCGUUAAGUAUUCCACCUGGGGAGUACGCCGGCAACGGUGAAACUCAAAGGAAUUGACGGGGGCCCGCACAAGCGGAGGAACAUGUGGUUUAAUUCGAUGAUACGCGAGGAACCUUACCCGGGCUUGAAUUGCAACUGAAUGAUGUGGAGACAUGUCAGCCGCAAGGCAGUUGUGAAGGUGCUGCAUGGUUGUCGUCAGCUCGUGCCGUGAGGUGUCGGCUUAAGUGCCAUAACGAGCGCAACCCUUAUCGAUAGUUACCAUCAGGUUAUGCUGGGGACUCUGUCGAGACUGCCGUCGUAAGAUGUGAGGAAGGUGG